CCUGCACCUGCCGGCGACCGGCGCACGGGUGAGUAACACGUAUGGAACCUGCCCGCCACAGGGGGAUAACCCGGGGAAACCCGGCCUAAUACCCCAUGCCGCCCGGACCGGGCAUCCGGUCCGGGCGAAAGGAGGAAUCCGGUGGCGGCUGGGCCAUGCGGCGCAUUAGCUUGACGGCGGGGUAACGGCCCACCGUGGCGACGAUGCGUAGGGGUUCUGAGAGGAAGGCCCCCCACACUGGAACUGAGACACGGUCCAGACUCCUACGGAAGGCAGCAG
This 279-nucleotide ribosomal RNA is filed under the name uncultured bacterium. RNAcentral describes it as "partial 16S ribosomal RNA". It matches the Rfam family "Bacterial small subunit ribosomal RNA", at positions 74 to 354 of the family's 1533-position model. The record is from RNAcentral.